UACGGAGGGUGCAAGCGUUAUCCGGAUUCACUGGGUUUAAAGGGUGCGUAGGUGGGUUGGUAAGUCAGUGGUGAAAUCUCCGGGCUUAACCUGGAAACUGCCAUUGAUACUAUCAAUCUUGAAUACCUUGGAGGUGAGCGGAAUAUGUCAUGUAGCGGUGAAAUGCUUAGAUAUGACAUAGAACACCAAUUGCGAAGACAGCUCACUACACGGUCAUUGACACUGAGGCACGAAAGCGUGGGGAUCAAACAGG
Molecule: ribosomal RNA, 253 nt
Filed under: uncultured bacterium
Lineage: Bacteria
Description: partial 16S ribosomal RNA
Rfam family: Bacterial small subunit ribosomal RNA
Source: RNAcentral